GCCAGAUGUGGUGACACUUGGGAGGCUGAGACAGGAGGAUCGCUUGAGACCAGGAGUUCUGGGCUGUAGUGUGCUAUGCCAAUCAGGUGUCUGCACUAAGUUCGGCGUCAAUAUGGUGACCUCCUGGGAGCAGGGGGCCACCAGAUUGCUUAAGGAGGGGUGAACUGGCCCAGGUCAGAAAUGAAGCAGGUCAAAGCUCCCAUGCUGAUCAGUAGUAGGAUCGUGCCUGUGAAUAACCACUGCACUCCAGCCUGGGCAACAUAGAGAUAUCCGGUCUCUU
Non-coding RNA from Otolemur garnettii (small-eared galago), 280 nucleotides. Lineage: Eukaryota; Metazoa; Chordata; Mammalia; Primates; Galagidae. The record is from Rfam.